UCGAGAAUUUUUCACAAUGGGGGAAACCCUGAUGGAGCGACGCCGCGUGGGGGAUGAAUGGCUUCGGCCCGUAAACCCCUGUCAUUUGCGAACAAGGUGCGUGUAUGAACAAUGCGCGUAUUGAUUGUAGCGGAAGAGGAAGGGACGGCUAACUCUGUGCCAGCAGCCGCGGUAAUACAGAGGUCCCAAGCGUUGUUCGGAUUCACUGGGCGUAAAGGGUGCGUAGGUGGUGGGGUAAGUCUGAUGUGAAAUCUCUGGGCUCAACCCAGAAAUGGCAUUGGAUACUAUCCUGCUAGAGGAUUGGAGGGGGGACUGGAAUUCUCGGUGUAGCAGUGAAAUGCGUAGAUAUCGAGAGGAACACCAGUGGCGAAGGCGAGUCCCUGGACAAAACCUGACACUGAGGCACGAAAGCUAGGGGAGCAAACAGG
This 428-nucleotide ribosomal RNA is filed under the name uncultured bacterium. Its description in RNAcentral is "bacterial SSU rRNA". It matches the Rfam family "Bacterial small subunit ribosomal RNA", at positions 355 to 776 of the family's 1533-position model. The record is from RNAcentral.